AUUUGAUAGGAGACAACGUGCGAACAGAGUGGUUUCAAGAUCGGCUGUCUCAUGGUAAAUAAUGUUGGUGCAUAAAUACAGGACGCCUGCAAUGCCAAAGGAAUGGUUGGCCGAAACCUAGGACAAGGAAGGCGACCAAUCACGCAGGCAUUACGGAGAGAGCAUGCACAAUUUAGUGUUCGUGCAAAUAAUUGGUGUAAAUAAAAAAGUUUUAGAUCCAUGUA
Molecule: long non-coding RNA, 224 nt
Organism: Rhipicephalus microplus (southern cattle tick)
Lineage: Eukaryota; Metazoa; Arthropoda; Arachnida; Ixodida; Ixodidae
Source: RefSeq, a predicted model, not a curated record